Molecule: long non-coding RNA, 675 nt
Filed under: Heterocephalus glaber (naked mole-rat)
Lineage: Eukaryota; Metazoa; Chordata; Mammalia; Rodentia; Bathyergidae
Description: lncRNA (ENSHGLG00000036880.1)
Source: RNAcentral
UAACAUGAAAAAGAUGAGGAAAACUGGGAUGCAAAUUUUAGUUAAAUGUUAGCACUCAUGUUAUUGAAAAAAGUCAUUUAACUUUGUGUGUUACUGUUUCUGCCUUUGAAAUGGUGUCUCUACCUAAUGUAAGCAAGUAGUGGGAUCCAAAAGAAAUACAUUUUCCAUGUUUGUUUCAGUCUCACAAAGUUCUUUUCCAGCUAGCAUUUUCCUUUGAAGAACAGAAGACCCAAAGAGGGAAAACUUACUCUGGGCCCUGUUUAGAGUCUGGAAUAGGGUUAACUCAAGGAAAAGUCAACUGUUGCUUAGAGUCGCCAAUUCUGAGUACUCUCAAGAAUAAUACUUCAAAGAAAGUGUACCAACACUCCUCAAAAUCCAAGAGUGCCAAGAAUGCUGUAGGCUCACAGAAAACAGGACUUACCGGCAGCUGUGAUGUCUUUGAGAGAUAGUAAUAUCCUCACCACUUUAGAGUAAACAGAUAUACUUUUGCUGUAAUAAUUCAAGGAGAAAGCAAGAACUUCUAGAGAAACACUGUAUCCUGACCUGAGUGACAGAGGAUGGGAUCCACAGCUCAAGUGGAGCCACAAGCAUAGGAGAAGAAAGAGGGACAUUGCCCCAUGUUGAAAGGUGUCAGGAAUUUUGUCCAAGCAAUGGGAAAGUGACUAAUACAGGGAC